This 253-nucleotide ribosomal RNA is filed under the name uncultured bacterium. Its description in RNAcentral is "partial 16S ribosomal RNA". It matches the Rfam family "Bacterial small subunit ribosomal RNA", at positions 524 to 776 of the family's 1533-position model. The record is from RNAcentral.
UACGGAGGGUGCAAACGUUAAUCGGAAUUACUGGGCGUAAAGCGCACGUAGGCGGCCUUGUAAGUCGGAUGUGAAAGCCCCGGGCUCAACCUGGGAAUGGCAUUCGAGACUGCGGGGCUGGAGUUUGGGAGAGGGUGGUGGAAUUCCCGGUGUAGCGGUGAAAUGCGUAGAGAUCGGGAGGAACAUCAGUGGCGAAGGCGGCCACCUGGCCCAAAACUGACGCUGAGGCACGAAAGCGUGGGGAGCAAACAGG